CUGGUUGAUCCUGCCAGAGGUUACUGCUAUCGAGGUUCGACUAAGCCAUGCGAGUCGAAUGUAGCAAUACAUGGCGUACUGCUCAGUAACACGUGGACAACCUGCCCUUAGGUCGGGUAUAAACCCGGGAAACUGGGUAUAAUCCCCGAUAGGUCUCGGCUGCUGGAAUGCAUCGAGAUUUAAAGCUCCGGCGCCUAAGGAUGGGUCUGCGGCCUAUCAGGUAGUAGUGGGUGUAGCGUACCUACUAGCCUACGACGGGUACGGGUUGUGAGAGCAAGAGCCCGGAGAUGGAUUCUGAGACACGAAUCCAGGCCCUACGGGGUGCAGCAGGCGCGAAAACUUUACAAUGCUGGCAACAGCGAUAAGGGAACCUCGAGUGCCAGGUUACAAAUCUGGCUGUCGAGAUGCCUAAAAAGCAUUUCAUAGCAAGGGCCGGGCAAGACCGGUGCCAGCCGCCGCGGUAACACCGGCGGCUCGAGUGGUAACCGUUAUUAUUGGGUCUAAAGGGUCUGUAGCCGGCCGGAUAAGUCUCUUGAGAAAUCUGGCAGCUUAACUGUCAGGCUUUCAGGAGAUACUGUCUGGCUCGAGGCCGGGAGAGGUGAGAGGUACUUCAGGGGUAGGGGUGAAAUCUUGUAAUCCUUGAAGGACCACCAGUGGCGAAGGCGUCUCACCAGAACGGACCUGACGGCAAGGGACGAAAGCUAGGGGCACGAACCGGAUUAGAUACCCGGGUAGUCCUAGCCGUAAACGAUACUCGCUAGGUGUCGGCCACGGUGCGACCGUUGUCGGUGCCGUAGGGAAGCCGUGAAGCGAGCCACCUGGGAAGUACGGCCGCAAGACUGAAACUUAAAGGAAUUGGCGGGGGAGCACCAC
Molecule: ribosomal RNA, 873 nt
Filed under: uncultured archaeon
Lineage: Archaea
Description: bacterial SSU rRNA
Rfam family: Archaeal small subunit ribosomal RNA
Source: RNAcentral